This 171-nucleotide ribosomal RNA is filed under the name Bacillus pacificus. RNAcentral's name for it is "partial 16S ribosomal RNA". It matches the Rfam family "Bacterial small subunit ribosomal RNA", at positions 1373 to 1533 of the family's 1533-position model. Lineage: Bacteria; Bacillati; Bacillota; Bacilli; Caryophanales; Bacillaceae. The record is from RNAcentral.
CCCGGGCCUUGUACACACCGCCCGUCACACCACGAGAGUUUGUAACACCCGAAGUCGGUGGGGUAACCUUUUUGGAGCCAGCCGCCUAAGGUGGGACAGAUGAUUGGGGUGAAGUCGUAACAAGGUAGCCGUAUCGGAAGGUGCGGCUGGAUCACCUCCUUUCUAUGGAGA